CGUAGCUCCCUCCAUCAGAGACGGCUGCCUUGUCAACACGUAAAUCCUGCCCGGCUUCUGGCAGCCACACGUCCCCGCGGGACCAGACGUACACGGGAGGCUGCAGGGCAGCAGCCUGGCAGCGCAGGGCGUCCUGGCUCCCAGCCCCCCGUGCUCUACCCAUGCCAUGUCUAGCAGCAGAGAUCACCUGACGCCAGGGGCUGGGAUUGGUCAGAGUCACACUCAUCCCUGUAUCCAUCCGCCUGGCAUCUCAGAGCCGCGCCGGGGGCCAGCUGGGACGGGGAUAUUCGCAGCUCAGUCGCUCCAGCCCGGCCCGGGGUUUGCUCUGGGCUCUGCCGCACGCCAUCUCGGUCGUACCAGGAGGUGCAAUAGGGGCAGGCGGCCCCCACAGAGCAGCCCCCUCCCAGCCACAAAAACCUUCGAUCCUGCAAAUCCCGCAAGAGAGACAGAUUCCCCCAUGCUGCUAAAAACCAACCAACCGACCGACAGAAACCGGUGGGUGAAGAUAUGAUCGAUACCAACGGAAUUCAGACCCAAUUUUUACUACUAAAAGAAUAAAACAAAUCUUGCUUGAACCAGGUACAAA
This is a non-coding RNA of Chrysemys picta bellii (western painted turtle), 586 nucleotides long. NCBI's taxonomy places the organism in Eukaryota, Metazoa, Chordata, Testudines, Emydidae. The record is from RefSeq and is a predicted model, not a curated record.